AACGCUAGCGGCAGGCUUAACACAUGCAAGUCGAGGGGUAUGCCGAUUUAUCGGCAGAGACCGGCGCGACGGGUGCGUAACGCGUAUGCAAUCUACCUUUCACAGAGGGAUAGCCCAGAGAAAUUUGGAUUAAUACCUCAUAGUAUAGCAGUUUCGCAUGAAACCACUAUUAAAGUUCCAACGGUGAAAGAUGAGCAUGCGUCCCAUUAGCUAGAUGGUAAGGUAACGGCUUACCAUGGCUACGAUGGGUAGGGGUCCUGAGAGGGAGAUCCCCCACACUGGUACUGAGACACGGACCAGACUCCUACGGGAGGCAGCAGUGAGGAAUAUUGGACAAUGGGCGCAAGCCUGAUCCAGCCAUGCCGCGUGCAGGAUGACGGUCCUAUGGAUUGUAAACUGCUUUUGUACAGGAAGAAACACUCCCUCGUGAGGGAGCUUGACGGUACUGUAAGAAUAAGGAUCGGCUAACUCCGUG
This 475-nucleotide ribosomal RNA is filed under the name uncultured bacterium. RNAcentral describes it as "bacterial SSU rRNA". It matches the Rfam family "Bacterial small subunit ribosomal RNA", at positions 32 to 507 of the family's 1533-position model. The record is from RNAcentral.